GGGGAUUUAGCUCAGUGAUAGAGCGCUUGCCUAGGAAGCGCAAGGCCCUGGGUUCGGUCCCCAGGUCCCCA
This is a non-coding RNA of Rattus norvegicus (Norway rat), 71 nucleotides long. Lineage: Eukaryota; Metazoa; Chordata; Mammalia; Rodentia; Muridae. The record is from Rfam.